Long non-coding RNA from Alexandromys fortis (reed vole), 1555 nucleotides. RefSeq lists it as uncharacterized. The transcript has 4 exons. The record is from RefSeq and is a predicted model, not a curated record. Lineage: Eukaryota; Metazoa; Chordata; Mammalia; Rodentia; Cricetidae.
AGUGUGAUUGCAGAACCAGCCUCUGUCACGCAGCAUGGUGAGGUGGGGGAGCAAAGCUCAUGCGUCUGUCACUCUGCAUUGCCAUUCCAGAGACCUAUUACACCCUGUUCUCUUAUGUUAGUGCAGGUACAGCCCUAGAUGAGAAACCCAACAUUCAGAAUGACAUAGUAAGGGAGUGUCACUGUGUAAGACUGCCUACAGAAUGAAGAGAAUGACCUUGGGGGGGGGGGGCUGGCUUCUGAAAAUGGGAUCUCUGAUAAGAAUUCAUCCACCAGAGAGGCAUUCAUUCCUAAGAGAGCGCUCCAUACUGGAUUCAUUCCCCCAAAAGCCGAACUCUGUGUUCUGACUGAACUCUACUGAACCCACCGGCACAGAGGAACACAGCACAUUGCCUCUCCCCCUUUCACACAGUUUAUCAUAUGCAUAUGCAUAUGUAUAUGUAUAUGAUGCAUAUAUCAUGAUGGGGGCUCACUGGUGUCCCAUUACUACAGAAUAUUACAGUCAAAUGUGGAAUAGAGACUGAACUGUUAAAUACAAUGGGAAACAGGCUCUCUUGCAGAAAAAAAAACAGGCUACAUAAUUAAAUCCAGAAGGUUCCUCACUUUUCUUUUUAAACUCUCCAACAGUACCGUACUUGUGGGCAAAGGCAAAAGAACUGGAAAUGCUUUAUUAUCUAAAAACAUAGUAUUUUAAAUUUCCCCCUCCAAUGAUUUAUGUCCGUCACAGUCUUCAGGAAAUGUGCCUGGCAUCCACACAUUUCAUGACAGGUAACAUAAGAACUUGCCAUUCUUCCUGAUAUUUAUAUAACAGGACCUUGCACAGAGCUCAGGAGGCUGCCCAGACAUAAACUAUGCACACACAGCCAGCGUAAUUGAAAGCAGCCGGCCAAGCGCAGCUGCUUGGGAAGCCCAGCUCCACAAGGGGCUUGCUGAAAUUUCAGUGAAGGUUAAUGGACAAAGGCAGGCUUCAGCACAGUAGGAAGGCACCAAGGUAGUUAGAGGAUGAAUCAAACGCGAAGAAAUGCCUAUGGCACAGAGAGGGAGCGAAGGGAUGGACGUGCUGCUAAUUCCCGUGCUUGUGGUAGCUAGAGGGGAAAAAACUGCAAUGAAGCCCCUGUUACCAUCUCCACAAAACAUGCACGUGCUUCACCCCAAACUGGAUGGAAAGCAGACCCUUCUGGAAAAAGAACAGAGUCUCUACACUGUCUCACAGCCUACCCAUCAUGUGGUUUAACCUGGGUACAUGACGGACAUGGACAGAUCAUGGCCUGAUGGAAACAUUGAGGGUCAUCAAGCUUUCAGAGACAAUGCGAAGACACUGUCAUUUUGUCAGGAAGAUCAGUCACGGAUGACAUGUGUCCUACGCCAUCUGGAAACUUCUUUGUGAAGGUAGAGUGCCGCAGAGAGCCUUAGCUCUCGGCUCUGGGAUCCUGUAUGGCAGUGACAGAAUGGAGCAGCCAGUCUGGUCAGAGGAAGUUUCUUCCAAACAGUUUACAAGGAAGAUAAUGACCUAUGAGAACUUCACUACCUCCCACGCUUUUGCUUGUUUACUUAAU